UUGCAGCAGGGAUAGCAGUGAAAAUCCUUUUUGAGGAACGAAAAAAGAUUGCAACGCAUAGCCCGACCCGGU
This 72-nucleotide small RNA is filed under the name Flavobacterium noncentrifugens. RNAcentral's name for it is "Flavo-1 RNA". It matches the Rfam family "Flavo-1 RNA". Lineage: Bacteria; Pseudomonadati; Bacteroidota; Flavobacteriia; Flavobacteriales; Flavobacteriaceae. The record is from Rfam by way of RNAcentral.